This is a small nucleolar RNA of Phragmites australis (common reed), 141 nucleotides long. RefSeq annotates it as small nucleolar RNA F1/F2/snoR5a. The record is from RefSeq and is a predicted model, not a curated record. NCBI's taxonomy places the organism in Eukaryota, Viridiplantae, Streptophyta, Magnoliopsida, Poales, Poaceae. The transcript has a single exon.
UAAUGCCAUCUGGUAUCUGACACAUGGGCUUCUUUUGUGACUAUGCGUCUCGAAAUAUGGCAAAUAACAAGGGGGGGACGGAUCUUGCGACACUGGUUGCUCCUAAAUGAGCCUCCAGUUACUAUAUAGCUGUUUACAUUU